CCCUGUAAUGCAAUGGAUAGCACGUUGGACUUCUAAUUCAGGGGUCGUAGGUUCGAAUCCUAACUAGGUUGG
Non-coding RNA from Trichonephila clavipes, 72 nucleotides. The record is from the annotation of a GenBank genome assembly. Lineage: Eukaryota; Metazoa; Arthropoda; Arachnida; Araneae; Nephilidae.